This 645-nucleotide unclassified non-coding RNA is filed under the name Zea mays. Its description in RNAcentral is "misc RNA Zm00001eb061620". The record is from RNAcentral. Lineage: Eukaryota; Viridiplantae; Streptophyta; Magnoliopsida; Poales; Poaceae.
UUGUUGAGCCGCUUGAGGUGGCGGUGCAGCCUCGCCGCCGGCGACCUCACGGCGGCGGUAGCGGCGGCGGCGCACGACAAGCAGAUGACCGUCACGAGCAGGCACACGACCCACCGCGCGGCGUCCAUGGGCGGCGGCGCGCCUCCCUCAGCCUUGGCACCUCCACUCCACCACUGCCGCGCGUCUUUUCCCCUCCCCGGUUCCCUCUUCCGGCGAGCUUACAGCGAGGCAAAGCAGGCCUCGACUUGCCUCACCCGGAAAGAGGGCCCUCCGUCCGCCGGCGGCGGCUGCGCUGCCAGAACCAGGGGCCGAUUCGAGAUUUUUGAAACAAUGCGGGUGCCUGACUGCCUGCGUGGUGGGAUUUGGGGAAACGGGAGUAAUGGCUCGUCGCCUUGGGCGGCUCGUCGUCUCGGUUGGGAGCGGCGCGUGCGUCCACUAGCCGCUUGCUGCACUGCACUGCACAGCGAUGUCUCGCGGCCACUUUUGCCGUUUCCGCAGCUCGUGCUUCUGGACGGAAAUGCCCCCCACCACGAUCCGGAAAUUAUUAGGGGCACCCGGCGUGCAACUAACGUCAAAGCGGGUACCGAUAUGCUCACUGAGAUGUGGGCCUCCAGGGUUUUCUUUCUUUGGGUCGUUGAUGCCUGA